AUCUACGGCCAUACCACCCUGAAUGCACCCGAUCUCAUCUGAUCUCAGAAGCUAAGCAGUGUCUGGCCGGGUUAAUACUUGGAAGGGAGAUAAAGAGUUAUUUCUU
This is a non-coding RNA of Fukomys damarensis (Damara mole-rat), 106 nucleotides long. The record is from Rfam. NCBI's taxonomy places the organism in Eukaryota, Metazoa, Chordata, Mammalia, Rodentia, Bathyergidae.